GACGAACGCUGGCGGCGCGUCUUAAGCAUGCAAGUCGAGCGGUAAGUUGGAAGCUUGCUUCUAACCUAGAGCGGCGGACUGGUGAGUAACGCGUGGGUGACGUACCCUUGUGACGGGGACAGCUCCUAGAAAUAGGAGAGUAAUACCGGAUACGCUGAGUGUUGCCAGAGGACAUUCAGGAAAGGAACUUUUGUCCGCACGAGGAGCGGCCCGCGUACUAUUAGCUAGUUGGUGAGGUAACGGCCCACCAAGGCAACGAUAGUUACCCGGCCUAAGAGGGUGAUCGGGCACAUUGGGACUGAGAUACGGCCCAGACUCCUACGGGAGGCAGCAGCUAAGAAUAUUCCGCAAUGGACGAAAGUCUGACGGAGCGACGCCGCGUGGAUGAUGAAGGCCGGAAAAGGUUGUAAAAUCCUUUUAUGACUGAGGAAUAAGCAGUGUGAGAGAAACGCAUUGUGGUGACUGUAGGUCAUGAAUAAGCAACGGCUAAUUACGUGCCAGCCGCCGC
This 508-nucleotide ribosomal RNA is filed under the name uncultured bacterium. RNAcentral's name for it is "bacterial SSU rRNA". It matches the Rfam family "Bacterial small subunit ribosomal RNA", at positions 28 to 518 of the family's 1533-position model. The record is from RNAcentral.